This is a small nucleolar RNA of Mesocricetus auratus (golden hamster), 79 nucleotides long. Its record names the gene SNORD115. It matches the Rfam family "Small nucleolar RNA SNORD115". Rfam says of the family: HBII-52 is a member of the C/D class of snoRNAs, which contain the C (UGAUGA) and D (CUGA) box motifs. HBII-52 is encoded in a tandemly repeated array with another C/D snoRNA, HBII-85, in the Prader-Willi syndrome (PWS) region of chromosome 15. The record is from Ensembl. Lineage: Eukaryota; Metazoa; Chordata; Mammalia; Rodentia; Cricetidae.
GGGUCUGUUAUGACAAAUCAAUGUCAUGAAGAAAGGUGAAGACAAAAUAAUCAUGCUCAAUAGGAUUACACUAAGGCCC